UUGACCUCGGAUCAGGUAGGAUUACCCGCUGAACUUAAGCAUAUCAAUAAGCGGAGGAAAAGAAACCAACAGGGAUUGCCUCAGUAACGGCGAGUGAAGCGGCAACAGCUCAGAUUUGGAAUCUGGUCCUUUGGGGCCCGAGUUGUAAUCUGGAGAGGAUGCUUCUGGCGCGGCGCCGUCCGAGUUCCCUGGAACGGGACGCCGGAGAGGGUGAGAGCCCCGUACGGUCGGACGCCUAGCCUGUGUGAAGCUCCUUCGACGAGUCGAGUAGUUUGGGAAUGCUGCUCAAAAUGGGAGGUAAAUUUCUUCUAAAGCUAAAUACCGGCCAGAGACCGAUAGCGCACAAGUAGAGUGAUCGAAAGAUGAAAAGCACUUUGAAAAGAGGGUCAAACAGUACGUGAAAUUGUUGAAAGGGAAGCGCCCGUGGCCAGACUUGUGCCCGGCAGACCAUCCGGCGCCCCCGCGCCGGUGCACUCUGCCGGGCGCAGGCCAGCAUCGGUUUUCCUAGGGGGAUAAAGGCGGCGGGAACGUGGCUCCCUCGGGAGCGUUAUAGCCCGCCGUGUCAUGCCUCUGGGGGGACCGAGGACCGCGCAUUUAUGCAAGGAU
RNAcentral lists this ribosomal RNA (606 nucleotides) under Leptographium cucullatum. RNAcentral's name for it is "eukaryotic LSU rRNA". It matches the Rfam family "Eukaryotic large subunit ribosomal RNA", at positions 1 to 612 of the family's 3401-position model. RNAcentral also lists the same sequence under 1 other name. Lineage: Eukaryota; Fungi; Ascomycota; Sordariomycetes; Ophiostomatales; Ophiostomataceae. The record is from RNAcentral.